AACGAACGCUGGCGGCAUGCCUAACACAUGCAAGUCGAACGAGACCUUCGGGUCUAGUGGCGCACGGGUGCGUAACGCGUGGGAACCUGCCCUUAGGUUCGGAAUAACUCCCCGAAAGGGGUGCUAAUACCGGAUAAUGUCUUCGGACCAAAGAUUUCUCGCCUUUGGAUGGGCCCGCGUUGGAUUAGCUAGUUGGUAGGGUAAAAGCCUACCAAGGAGACGAUCCAUAGCUGGUCUGAGAGGAUGAUCAGCCACACUUGGACUGCGACACGGCCCAGACUCCUACGGGAGGCAGCAGUGGGGAAUAUUGGACGAUGGGCGAAAGUCUGAUCAAGCCAUGCCGCGUGAGUGAUGCAGGCCGUAGGGUUGUAAAGCUCUUUUACCCGGGAUGAUAAUGACAGUACCGGGAGAAUAAGCACCGGCUAACUCCGUG
This 433-nucleotide ribosomal RNA is filed under the name uncultured bacterium. RNAcentral describes it as "partial 16S ribosomal RNA". It matches the Rfam family "Bacterial small subunit ribosomal RNA", at positions 29 to 507 of the family's 1533-position model. The record is from RNAcentral.